Molecule: ribosomal RNA, 492 nt
Filed under: uncultured bacterium
Lineage: Bacteria
Description: partial 16S ribosomal RNA
Rfam family: Bacterial small subunit ribosomal RNA
Source: RNAcentral
AGUGAACGCUGGCGGUAGGCCUAACACAUGCAAGUCGAACGGCAGCACAGUAAGAGCUUGCUCUUACGGGUGGCGAGUGGCGGACGGGUGAGGAAUACAUCGGAAUCUACUUUUUCGUGGGGGAUAACGUAGGGAAACUUACGCUAAUACCGCAUACGACCUACGGGUGAAAGCAGGGGAUCUUCGGACCUUGCGCGAUUGAAUGAGCCGAUGUCGGAUUAGCUAGUUGGCGGGGUAAAGGCCCACCAAGGCGACGAUCCGUAGCUGGUCUGAGAGGAUGAUGAGCACCACGGGAACUGAGACACGGUCCAGACUCCUAGGGGGGGCGGCGGUGGGGAAUAUUGGACAAUGGGCGCAAGCCUGAUCAAGCCAUACCGCGUGGGUGAAGAAGGCCUUCGGGUUGUAAAGCCCUUUUGUUGGGAAAGAAAAGAAGCGGGUUAAUCCCCCGCUGUCCUGACGGUACCCAAAAAAAAAGCACCGGCUAACUUCGUG